RNAcentral lists this ribosomal RNA (497 nucleotides) under uncultured bacterium. RNAcentral's name for it is "partial 16S ribosomal RNA". It matches the Rfam family "Bacterial small subunit ribosomal RNA", at positions 28 to 507 of the family's 1533-position model. The record is from RNAcentral.
GAUGAACGCUGGCGGCGUGCCUAAUACAUGCAAGUCGAGCGAACGGACGAGAAGCUUGCUUCUCUGAUGUUAGCGGCGGACGGGUGAGUAACACGUGGAUAACCUACCUAUAAGACUGGGAUAACUUCGGGAAACCGGAGCUAAUACCGGAUAAUAUUUUGAACCGCAUGGUUCAAAAGUGAAAGACGGUCUUGCUGUCACUUAUAGAUGGAUCCGCGCUGCAUUAGCUAGUUGGUAAGGUAACGGGUUACCAAGGCAACGAUGCAUAGCCGACCGGAGAGGGUGAUCGGCCACACUGGAACGGAGACAGGGUCCAGACUCCUACGGGAGGCAGCAGUAGGGAAUCUUCCGCAAUGGGCGAAAGCCUGACGGGGCAACGCCGCGUGAGUGAUGAAGGUCUUCGGAUCGUAAAACUCUGUUAUUAGGGAAGAACAUAUGUGUAAGUAACUGUGCACAUCUUGACGGUACCUAAUCAGAAAGCCACGGCUAACUACGUG